RNAcentral lists this ribosomal RNA (203 nucleotides) under uncultured bacterium. Its description in RNAcentral is "partial 16S ribosomal RNA". It matches the Rfam family "Bacterial small subunit ribosomal RNA", at positions 524 to 720 of the family's 1533-position model. The record is from RNAcentral.
UACGAAGGGGGGCUAGCGUUGCUCGGAAUCACUGGGGCGUAAAAGGGCGCGUAGGCGGCGUUUUUAAGUCGGGGGGUGAAAAGCCUGUGGCUCAACCACAGAAUUGCCUCGAUACUGGGACGCUUGAGUGUGGUAGAGGUUGGUGGAACUGCGAGUGUAGAGGUGAAAAUUCGUAGAUAUUCGCAAGAACACCGGUGGCGAAG